GACGAACGCUGGCGGCGUGCUUAACACAUGCAAGUCGAACGGAAAGGCCCUGCUUUUGUGGGGUGCUCGAGUGGCGAACGGGUGAGUAACACGUGAGUAACCUGCCUUGACUUUGGGAUAACUUCAGGAAACUGGGGCUAAUACCGGAUAGGAGCUCCUGCUGCCUGGUGGGGGUUGGAAAGUUUCGGCGGUUGGGGAUGGACUCGCGGCUUAUCAGCUUGUUGGUGGGGUAGUGGCUUACCAAGGCUUUGACGGGUAGCCGGCCUGAGAGGGUGACCGGCCACAUUGGGACUGAGAUACGGCCCAGACUCCUACGGGAGGCAGCAGUGGGGAAUAUUGCACAAUGGGCGGAAGCAUGAUGCAGCAACGCCGCGUGCGGGAUGACGGCCUUCGGGUUGUAAACCGCUUUCGCCUGUGACGAAGCGUGAGGGACGGUAAUGGGCAAAGAAGCACCGGCGAACUACGU
Molecule: ribosomal RNA, 466 nt
Filed under: uncultured bacterium
Lineage: Bacteria
Description: partial 16S ribosomal RNA
Rfam family: Bacterial small subunit ribosomal RNA
Source: RNAcentral